UGAUGAGGUAAGUUGUCUAUGUUGUCUGAUGACAUUGAUGAGGUAAGUUGUCUAUGUUGUCUGAUGACAUUGAUGAGGUAAGUUGUCUAUGUUGUCUGAUGACAUUGAUGAGGUAAGUUGUAUAUGCUGUCUGAUGACAUUGAUGAGGUAAGUUGUCUAUGUUGUCUGAUGACAUUGAUGAGGUAAGUUGUAUAUGCUGUCUGAUGACAUUGAUGAGGUAAGUUGUAUAUGUUGUCUGAAG
This is a long non-coding RNA of Dreissena polymorpha, 241 nucleotides long. RefSeq lists it as uncharacterized. The record is from RefSeq and is a predicted model, not a curated record. The transcript has 3 exons. Lineage: Eukaryota; Metazoa; Mollusca; Bivalvia; Myida; Dreissenidae.